CUANUACAUGCAAGUCGAGCGAAUGGAUUAAGAGCUUGCUCUUAUGAAGUUAGCGGCGGACGGGUGAGUAACACGUGGGUAACCUGCCCAUAAGACUGGGAUAUCUCCGGGAAACCGGGGCUAAUACCGGAUAACAUUUUGAACCGCAUGGUUCGAAAUUGAAAGGCGGCUUCGGCUGUCACUUAUGGAUGGACCCGCGUCGCAUUAGCUAGUUGGUGAGGUAACGGCUCACCAAGGCAACGAUGCGUAGCCGACCUGAGAGGGUGAUCGGCCACACUGGGACUGAGACACGGCCCAGACUCCUACGGGAGGCAGCAGUAGGGAAUCUUCCGCAAUGGACGAAAGUCUGACGGAGCAACGCCGCGUGAGUGAUGAAGGCUUUCGGGUCGUAAAACUCUGUUGUUAGGGAAGAACAAGUGCUAUUUGAAUAAGCUGGCACCUUGAACGGUACCUAACAGAAAGCCACGGCUAACUACCUGCCAGCAGCCGCGGUAAUACCUAAGUUGCCAAGCGUUUUCCGGAAUAAUUGGGCCUAAA
Molecule: ribosomal RNA, 537 nt
Filed under: Bacillus cereus
Lineage: Bacteria; Bacillati; Bacillota; Bacilli; Caryophanales; Bacillaceae
Description: bacterial SSU rRNA
Rfam family: Bacterial small subunit ribosomal RNA
Source: RNAcentral